UGAGGAAUAUUGGUCAAUGGGCGAGAGCCUGAACCAGCCAAGUAGCGUGCAGGAUGACGGCCCUAUGGGUUGUAAACUGCUUUUAUGUGGGGAUAAAGUGCGUGACGUGUCAUGCAUUGCAGGUACCACAUGAAUAAGGACCGGCUAAUUCCGUGCCAGCAGCCGCGGUAAUACGGAAGGUCCGGGCGUUAUCCGGAUUUAUUGGGUUUAAAGGGAGCGUAGGCUGUCUAUUAAGCGUGUUGUGAAAUUUACCGGCUCAACCGGUGGCUUGCAGGGGGAACUGGUCGAAUUGAGUAUGCAGGAAGUAGGCGGAAUUCAUGGUGUAGCGGUGAAAUGCUUAGAUAUCAUGACGAACUCCGAUUGCGCAGGCAGCUUACUGUAGCAUAACUGACGCUGAUGCUCGAAAGUGCGGGUAUCAAACAGG
RNAcentral lists this ribosomal RNA (424 nucleotides) under Verrucomicrobiota bacterium. Its description in RNAcentral is "Verrucomicrobia bacterium partial 16S ribosomal RNA". It matches the Rfam family "Bacterial small subunit ribosomal RNA", at positions 355 to 776 of the family's 1533-position model. The record is from RNAcentral. Lineage: Bacteria; Pseudomonadati; Verrucomicrobiota.